AGAAGUGAGAUUGGGCAGAAAUGGUGUAGAGGAAAUCAAACGUCAUCUCUUCUUCAAAAAUGAUCAGUGGGCUUGGGAAACGCUCCGAGACAGUAAGUUCUUUUUCCCUGGACAUUCUAGAGUAUUUGAAAGUUGUUAUAGUAAGUUUGUCUUUCAAAAUAUUUAUGUACAAUUGAUGAAAUUCCCUAAACUAGUUAAAAAGAACAGUUGAGGGGCUGGGGAUUUAGCUCAGUGGUAGAGCGCUUACCUAGGAAGCGCAAGGCCCUGGGUUCGGUCCCCAGCUCCGAAAAAAAAAAGAACCAAAAAAAAAAAAAAAAAA
Molecule: long non-coding RNA, 319 nt
Filed under: Rattus norvegicus (Norway rat)
Lineage: Eukaryota; Metazoa; Chordata; Mammalia; Rodentia; Muridae
Description: long non-coding RNA NONRATT013654
Source: RNAcentral